AGGAUUCCCCUAGUAACUGCGAGUGAAGCGGGAAAAGCUCAAAUUUAAAAUCUGGCGGUCUUUUGGCUGUCCGAGUUGUAAUCUGGAGAAGCGUUUUCCGCGUCGGACCGUGUAUAAGUUCUCCUGGAAUGGAGCGUCAUAGAGGGUGAGAAUCCCGUCUUUGACACGGACCACCGAUGCUUUUGUGAUGCGCUCUCAAAGAGUCGAGUUGUUUGGGAAUGCAGCUCAAAAUGGGUGGUAAAUUCCAUCUAAAGCUAAAUACAGGCGAGAGACCGAUAGCGAACAAGUACCGUGAGGGAAAGAUGAAAAGCACUUUGGAAAGAGAGUUAAACAGUACGUGAAAUUGUUGAAAGGGAAACGCUUGAAGUCAGUCGCGUUGUCCGGGGAUCAACCUUGCUUUGGCUUGGUGUACUUCCCGGUUAACGGGUCAGCAUCAAUUUUGAUCGUUGGAUAAAGUCUAGUUGAAUGUGGCAUCCCUUGGGGUGUGUUAUAGCUUCUAGUCGCAUACAACGGUUGGGAUUGAGGAACUCAGCACGCCUUUAUGGUCGGGGUUCUCCCACGUAACGUGCUUAGGAUGCUGGCGUAAUGGCUUUAAACGACCCGUCUUGAAACACGGACCAAGGAGUCUAACAUGCCCGCGAGUGUUUGGGUGGAAAACCCGGACGCGUAAUGAAAGUGAAAGUUGAGACCUCUGUCGUGGAGGGCAUCGACGCCCGGACCAGACCUUCUGUGACGGAUCCGCGGUAGAGCGUGUAUGUUGGGACCCGAAAGAUGGUGAACUAUGCCUGAAUAGGGUGAAGCCAGAGGAAACUCUGGUGGAGGCUCGUAGCGAUUCUGACGUGCAAAUCGAUCGUCAAAUUUGGGUAUAGGGGCGAAAGACUAAUCGAACCAUCUAGUAGCUGGUUCCUGC
Molecule: ribosomal RNA, 910 nt
Filed under: Anomoloma flavissimum
Lineage: Eukaryota; Fungi; Basidiomycota; Agaricomycetes; Amylocorticiales; Amylocorticiaceae
Description: eukaryotic LSU rRNA
Rfam family: Eukaryotic large subunit ribosomal RNA
Source: RNAcentral